CAACAGGGAUUGCCUCAGUAACGGCGAGUGAAGCGGCAAAAGCUCAAAUUUGAAAUCUGGCCCCCCCCGCGGGGGUCCGAGUUGUAAUUUGCAGAGGAUGCUUUGGGCGCGGCGCCUUCCGAGUGCCUUGGAACAGGUCGCCUCAGAGGGUGAGAGCCCCGUACGGUUGGACGCCUAGCCCGUGUAAAGCUCCUUCAACGAGUCGAGUAGUUUGGGAAUGCUGCUCAAAAUGGGAGGUAAAUUCCUUCUAAAGCUAAAUACUGGCCAGAGACCGAUAGCGCACAAGUAGAGUGAUCGAAAGGUGAAAAGCACUUUGAAAAGAGAGUCAAAUAGCACGUGAAAUUGUUAAAAGGGAAGCGUCUGCGACCAGACGCGCCGCCCGCGGCUCACCCGGCGCCUCGGCGCCGGGGCACGCCGCGGGCGUCGGGCCAGCAUCGGCUCUGCCGUGGGUACAAGGACCGCGGGAACGUAGCUCCCUCGUGGAGUGUUAUAGCCCGCGGCACCAUGCCCGCGGCGGGGCCGAGGACCGCGCCCGCAAGGGCAAGGAUGCUGGCGUAAUGGCCGCCGGCGACCCGUCUUGAAACACGGACCAAGGAGUCAAGCAGUGGGGCGAGUGUACGGGUGCCAAACCCGCGCGCGAAAUGAAAGUAAACGCAGGUGGGAGCCUCCGGGCGCACCACCGACCGAUCCUGACGUUCUCUGAUGGAUUUGAGUAGGAGCCCUACUGCUUGGACCCGAAAGAUGGUGAACUAUGCCUGUAUAGGGUGAAGCCAGAGGAAACUCUGGUGGAGGCUCGCAGCGG
Molecule: ribosomal RNA, 802 nt
Filed under: Raffaelea arxii
Lineage: Eukaryota; Fungi; Ascomycota; Sordariomycetes; Ophiostomatales; Ophiostomataceae
Description: eukaryotic LSU rRNA
Rfam family: Eukaryotic large subunit ribosomal RNA
Source: RNAcentral